This 460-nucleotide ribosomal RNA is filed under the name uncultured bacterium. Its description in RNAcentral is "partial 16S ribosomal RNA". It matches the Rfam family "Bacterial small subunit ribosomal RNA", at positions 338 to 795 of the family's 1533-position model. The record is from RNAcentral.
CCUACGGGGGGCAGCAGUGAGGAAUAUUGGUCAAUGGACGAGAGUCUGAACCAGCCAAGUAGCGUGAAGGAUGACUGCCCUAUGGGUUGUAAACUUCUUUUAUAUGGGAAUAAAACGUUCCACGUGUGGGAUUUUGUAUGUACCAUAUGAAUAAGGAUCGGCUAACUCCGUGCCAGCAGCUGCGGUAAUACGGAGGAUCCGAGCGUUAUCCGGAUUUAUUGGGUUUAAAGGGAGCGUAGGUGGAUUGUUAAGUCAGUUGUGAAAGUUUGCGGCUCAACCGUAAAAUUGCAGUUGAAACUGGCAGUCUUGAGUACAGUAGAGGUGGGCGGAAUUCGUGGUGUAGCGGUGAAAUGCUUAGAUAUCACGAAGAACUCCGAUUGCGAAGGCAGUUCACUGGACUGCAACUGACACUGAGGCUCGAAAGUGUGGGUAUCAAACAGGAUUAGAUACCCCUGUAGUC